CCGCCUUGCACCAUGUCAAAUGGGGCACUUCCCCGUCCAGGAGCCCGAGGAAAAGCCAGCUGAAAUUCGAUACAUUGGCAGGAGGGAUCACGUGGCCGGCUCUUGGCCAAUGGCCAAGGUUCACCGGGAGAGGGACUGUUUGAUGAGUUAAUGGCAGCAAUUUGUAACUUUCAGUCUCUCUCUGGGCAAACACACAAGAGGGAUGAUAGGAAACAGUUUCUACAGCAGAUCUCUCUCUGGGCUGCGAGAAAUGGACAUGACUUCAUCCCUCCCCCCAACCCAGCCCACCCCACCAGACCCUCCUGGAAUAUCUGCUGGGCUGCUCAAGGUGCCUCCACAACUCCAAGUAUAUAGCACAAUCCGAUUUGAGAUCUGCCGGAAAGAAGAAUGAGGAACAUGAAGAAGUCUUCAGUCCCCCAGUGGAUUGGAAGAAGGAAGAUGUGCAAUGUCCAACAUGAUGUUCUGAUUGUCUAGUGGGUGCAUGGAGGUGUCAGAAGAGGCUGGUGAAAAUGCAAUGAGGAACUGACAAGGUUCUCUUCAUUUUUUUCCCUUCACUGGGUAAAUGAGUCUGCACUGAAAAAAAAUUGGUCUUUCUGGAGACUUUUAGUAUCACUCAGGAUUUCUGUCAUUUCCUCUAAAUGCAAUUUUUGCUGUAAAUUGAGCUUCCCACUUCAAUAUAAGAAGUAGCAUAGAUUGGGAAGGAUAGACAUGGCUUAUAGUUAGCACAGGGAGACAAAAAUUGUGGGAGUCUCUCUCUUUGUGUAAACACACAAAAUAUAGGUUAUUUAUAGCCUUCCCUGUUAUAUAUAUCACACAUGUGAGAUAGAGACAUGAGUAGGGGGCUGAAUGGAUGGAUAAAGAUUCUCAGAUGCAACAGCAAUGGAUGCCAAUCUGAGAACCUGGGUGGAUAGAGGGAUAGGCCCUGAUCUGACAUUGCCCUGCACCAUGUCUCACCAUUUACACGAGUGCACAGUGUUUGUAAAACUGACUUCCAUUUACACUAAGGUCAUGCGGUGCUCAGACACUGUGGUAGGGUGACCAGAUGUCCCGAUUUUAUAGGGACAGUCCCGAUUUUGGGGACUUUUUCUUAUAUAGGUACCUAUUUCCCUCUACCCCUGUUCCGAUUUUUCACACUUGCUGUCUGGUCAUCCUACACUGUGGUGAUGAGCAUGGUAUGAUCAGUCAUAAAUUCAUAGAUUCCAAGGCCAGAAGGGACCAUUGUGAUCACCUAGUUUGAUUUCCUGUAUGGCACAGGCCAUAGAGUUUCCCCAAAACACUUUCUAGAGCAGAUCUUUCAGAAAAACAUCCAGUCUUGAUUUUGUUCCAAUGCUUAAUUACUCUCACCGUUUAAACUUUAUGCCUUAUUUCUGGUUGGAAUUUGUCUAGCUUCAACUUUCAGCCACUGGAUGGUGUUAUACCUUCCUCUGCUAGAUUGAUGAGCCCAUUAAUAAAUAUUUGUUCCUCACGUAGCUACUUAUGGACUGUAAUCAAGUCACAUCUUAACCUUCUCUUUGUUAAGCUAAAUAGAUUGAGCUCCUUGAGUCUCUCCUGAGAGGCA
Molecule: long non-coding RNA, 1558 nt
Organism: Malaclemys terrapin pileata
Lineage: Eukaryota; Metazoa; Chordata; Testudines; Emydidae
Exons: 2
Source: RefSeq, a predicted model, not a curated record